CGGGGUGCACCAGGCGCGAAACCUCUGCAAUAGGCGAAAGCCUGACAGGGUUACUCUGAGUGAUUCCCGCUAAGGGGAUCUUUUGGCACCUCUAAAAAUGGUGCAGAAUAAGGGGUGGGCAAGCCUGGUGUCAGCCGCCGCGGUAAUACCAGCACCCCGAGUGGUCGGGACGAUUAUUGGGCCUAAAGCAUCCGUAGCCGGCCACGCAAGUCCUCCGUUAAAUCCACCCGCUCAACGGUUGGGCUGCGGAGGAUACUACGUGGCUAGGAGGCGGGAGAGGCAAGCGGUACUCAAUGGGUAGGGGUAAAAUCCUUUGAUCCAUUGAAGACCACCAGUGGCGAAGGCGGCUUGCCAGAACGCGCUCGACGGUGAGGGAUGAAAGCUGGGGGAGCAAACCGGAUUAGAUACCCGGGUAGUCCCAGCUGUAAACGAUGCAGACUCGGUGAUGGGAUGGCCUCGAGCCAUCCCAGUGCCGCAGGGAAGCCGUUAAGUCUGCCGCCUGGGGAGUACGGUCGCAAGACUGAAACUUAAAGGAAUUGG
RNAcentral lists this ribosomal RNA (540 nucleotides) under uncultured archaeon. RNAcentral describes it as "bacterial SSU rRNA". It matches the Rfam family "Archaeal small subunit ribosomal RNA", at positions 326 to 868 of the family's 1478-position model. The record is from RNAcentral.